GAUGAAGAACGUAGCGAAAUGCGAUAAGUAAUGUGAAUUGCAGAAUUCAGUGAAUCAUCGAAUCUUUGAACGCACAUUGCGCCCGCCAGUAUUCUGGCGGGCAUGCCUGUUCGAGCGUCAUUUCAACCAUCAAGCCCCAGGCUUGUGUUGGGGACCUGCGGCUGCCGCAGGCCCUGAAAACCAGUGGCGGGCUCGCUGUCACACCGGGCGUAGUAGAUUUAUCUCGCUCAGGGCGUGCUGCGGGUUCCGGCCGUUAAAAAGCCUUUUUUACCCAAGGUUGACCUCGGAUCAGGUAGGAAGACCCGCUGAACUUAAGCAUAUCAAUAAGCGGAGGA
RNAcentral lists this unclassified non-coding RNA (335 nucleotides) under soil metagenome. Its description in RNAcentral is "partial contains 5.8S ribosomal RNA, internal transcribed spacer 2, and large subunit ribosomal RNA". The stretch from base 1 to 120 matches the Rfam family "5.8S ribosomal RNA", at positions 35 to 154 of the family's 154-position model. The record is from RNAcentral.